Molecule: ribosomal RNA, 252 nt
Filed under: uncultured Bacteroidales bacterium
Lineage: Bacteria; Pseudomonadati; Bacteroidota; Bacteroidia; Bacteroidales
Description: partial 16S ribosomal RNA
Rfam family: Bacterial small subunit ribosomal RNA
Source: RNAcentral
UACGGGGGGUGCAAGCGUUGUCCGGAAUCAUUGGGCGUAAAGCGUUCGUAGGCGGCAAGGUAAGUCUGAUGUUAAAGCCCGGGGCUCAACCCCGGCGAGCCGUUGAAACUGGCGGGCUGGAGUUGGAGAGAAGUACGCGGAAUGCGCGGUGUAGCGGUGAAAUGCUUAGAUAUCGCGCAGAACCCCGAUUGCGAAGGCAGCGUACCGGCUCCACACUGACGCUGAGGCACGAAAGCGUGGGUAUCGAACAGG